RNAcentral lists this ribosomal RNA (253 nucleotides) under uncultured prokaryote. Its description in RNAcentral is "partial 16S ribosomal RNA". It matches the Rfam family "Bacterial small subunit ribosomal RNA", at positions 526 to 777 of the family's 1533-position model. The record is from RNAcentral.
CUUCUUCCCCCCUCGUUCUCCGGAGUGACUGGGCGUAAAGAGUUGCGUAGGCGGACAAGUAAGCGAAUAGUGAAAUCUGAUGGCUCAACCAUCAACACAUUGUUCGAACUGCUGGUCUCGAGAAUGGUAGAGGUAGUUGGAAUUUCUUGUGUAGGAGUGAAAUCCGUAGAUAUAAGAAGGAACACCAAUGGCGUAGGCAGACUACUGGACCAUUUCUGACGCUGAGGCACGAAAGCGUGGGGAGCGAACCGGA